This is an RNA transcript of Theobroma umbraticum, 1683 nucleotides long. It is a transcript of the gene named Gut esterase (DUF1350), with no coding region annotated. NCBI's taxonomy places the organism in Eukaryota, Viridiplantae, Streptophyta, Magnoliopsida, Malvales, Malvaceae. The record is from RefSeq and is a predicted model, not a curated record.
GCAGUACACAUGGUAAGCGCUUGCAUCAAAAACCGAGAAAACAGAAAGACAUGGGACAGGGACACAAGUCGGCAGGCUAACAAGUACAGCAGAGCAGAUAAAAACCCAGAAGGAUAUGGCUAGUUGCGUAGUGACUCCAUCCCCUAUUCAAAUUCAAACUCGCAGACAUAGAACUGGCAUCAUACGACGCUUCUCUGUACCGGCUCUCAAGGUUCCUCUGCCGCCUGCAAUUCGUCCCCGUCUUACUCCAAGAAUCUUUUGUAACUACGAUGAUCCCAAUAGCAACAGCCAGAAACAGCCCUCUUCAGUUCAGCUCUAUGGUGAAAUCGAGAGAUUACUUACGGAGACUGUAAGGCAAUCGCAAGGUGCUUGGGGUGGUUCAAGUGAUUGGAGCCAAGUCGAGGGAGCAUGGGUUCUCCAACCAAAAUACUCAAAACCUAAGUCAGUUGUUCAUUUUGUUGGUGGUAUAUUUGUUGGAGCCGCUCCUCAGCUUACCUAUCGUUGGUUUUUGGAGCGCCUUUCAGAAAAGGGUGUUUUGGUGAUUGCGACACCAUAUGCUAGUGGGUUUGAUCACUUCUUCAUCGCAGAUGAAGUCCAGUUUAAAUUUGACAGGUGUUUACGGUUCCUACAAGAAACAGUGCAUGAUCUUCCCACUUUUGGUAUUGGCCAUUCUUUGGGUUCUGUCAUCCAUCUUUUGAUUGGAUCAAGAUAUGCCGUGCAAAGAAGUGGGAAUGUAUUAAUGGCAUUCAACAACAAGGAAGCAAGCUUAGCCAUCCCAUUGUUUUCACCUGUUCUUGUGCCCGUGGCCCAAAGCAUUGGACCCAUUCUAUCACAAAUUGUGUCGUCACCGACAAUACGCAUGGGGGCUGAGAUGACACUGAAGCAAAUAGAGAACUUUAGCCCUCCCCUUAUGAAGCAGGUUCUUCCUCUAGUUGAACAACUUCCACCCUUGUACAUGGACUUAGUCAAGGGAAGAGAAGAUUUCAGUCCAAAACCAGAAGAAACUCGACGACUUAUAAAGUCAUACUAUGGCAUUUCGAGGAACCUUCUAAUAAAGUUCAAAGAUGACUCAAUUGAUGAAACUCCGAAGUUGGCUCAGGUGCUAAGUUCGGACUCAGCCAUCAGCUCAAUGCUGGACAUGUCAAUUCGAUUGUUGCCAGGAGAUCAUGGGCUUCCUCUACAACAAGCCCUUCCAGAUGUUCCACCCGCAAUGGCAGAUGCAGUAAAUCGUGGAAGUGAGUUUUUGGCAAAUCUGACAGUGGGAACACCGUGGGAGACUGUUGCCAAAGAAGUCAGCAAUACAUUAGGUACAGACUCGACAGUUCUUCGUGCAGAAAUUUCUAAGGACAUAGACCUUCUUGUGGACGUGAUCACUUCCUGGAUGGCUUCAAAUUCAGGUCCAAAACUUUUAAGGGGUUGAUGUGUAGGAUUGAACUCCAACUAAAAUCAACAAGGAGCUGUUUUGUUCAUACCGAUUUUCCUGUGAGAAGUUGAGAGAAAACUGAGAAACAACAAACUAAUGCCGGAAUCUGCAUGUGUGUUCUCAUUAAGAAAGAAAUGAAUGCAAUUAAGAGUAUUUAUUCUCUAUCUAACAAAAAAACAAGGGACUUCAGGUUAGUUAACUAUCAAUUAAUCAGCAUUUACAGUUUCAGUAAAAGAAUAAAGUAACUGAUUAAAACAAAU